AAGGAAUUGACGGGGCCCGCACAAGCGGAGAACAUGUGUUAAUUCGAUGAUACGCGAGGAACCUUACCCGGGCUUGAACUGCAGGAGAACGAUACAGAGAUGUUGAGGUCCUUCGGGACUCCUGUGGAGGUGCUGCAUGGUUGUCGUCAGCUCGUGCCGUGAGGUGUCGGCUUAAGUGCCAUAACGAGCGCAACCCUUUUCGUCAGUUGCCAUCAGGUGAAGCUGGGCACUCUGGCGAUACUGCCACCGUAAGGUGUGAGGAAGGUGGGGAUGACGUCAAAUCAGCACGGCCCUUACGUCCGGGGCUACACACGUGUUACAAUGGGGAGUACAGAGAGUCAACCGCCGGCAACGUCGGUUUAAUCAAGAAAGCUCUCCUCAGUUCGGAUUGGGGUCUGCAACCCGACCCCAUGAAGCUGGAUUCGCUAGUAAUCGCGCAUCAGCCAUGGCGCGGUGAAUACGUUCCCGGGCCUUGUACACACCGCCCGUCAAGCCAUGAAAGCCGGGGGCGCUUGAAGUCCGUGACCGCAAGGAUCGGCCUAGAGCGAAACUGGUAAUUGGGGCU
This 565-nucleotide ribosomal RNA is filed under the name uncultured rumen bacterium. RNAcentral describes it as "bacterial SSU rRNA". It matches the Rfam family "Bacterial small subunit ribosomal RNA", at positions 903 to 1482 of the family's 1533-position model. The record is from RNAcentral.